RNAcentral lists this ribosomal RNA (509 nucleotides) under uncultured bacterium. Its description in RNAcentral is "bacterial SSU rRNA". It matches the Rfam family "Bacterial small subunit ribosomal RNA", at positions 21 to 518 of the family's 1533-position model. The record is from RNAcentral.
GGCUCAGAACGAACGCUGGCGGCGCGUCUUAAGCAUGCAAGGUCGAACGGCAAGAGGUAGCAAUACCUCCUAGAGUGGCGGACUGGUGAGUAACACGUGGGUGACAUACCCUUCAGAUGGGGAUAGCUAUUAGAAAUAGUAGAUAAUACCGAAUACGAGCACAGGGGUUAGAGAUCUGUGAGGAAAGGAGCUAAGGCUCCGCUGAAGGAAUGGCCUGCGGCCCAUUAGCUAGUUGGUGAGGUAAGAGCCCACCAAGGCGAUGAUGGGUAUCCGGCCUUAGAGGGUGAACGGACACAUUGGGACUGAGAUACGGCCCAGACUCCUACGGGAGGCAGCAGCUAAGAAUAUUCCGCAAUGGACGAAAGUCUGACGGAGCGACGCCGCGUGGAUGAAGAAGGCCGGAAGGUUGUAAAAUCCUUUUGAAACUGAAGAAUAAGCGUUGUAGGGAAUGACAGCGUGGUGACAGUAGGUUUUGAAUAAGCAACGGCUAAUUACGUGCCAGCCGCCGC